Molecule: long non-coding RNA, 219 nt
Filed under: Salvia miltiorrhiza (redroot sage)
Lineage: Eukaryota; Viridiplantae; Streptophyta; Magnoliopsida; Lamiales; Lamiaceae
Description: long non-coding RNA (SMIL_LNC002316)
Source: RNAcentral
GGAUUUUUGUUUUAUGCCGUGAACUGUAAUUGUGUCUGUGCAGUUGCGAGUAAAAUGUUUGUCAGCCUCCCGCCAUAUGACCCGGGCUGCUUCUGGUCUCCGUGAGAAGGAGGAAGAACUCAUGGCCUCUUUGGCUGAUAACUCUGAGCUACAAGAGCAGCUGCGUCAAGCCCAAGCUGAGCUAGCAAAGGUGAAGGUAGAGAAGGAGUCCAUCGAAAC